This 1861-nucleotide long non-coding RNA is filed under the name Homo sapiens (human). RNAcentral describes it as "non-protein coding lnc-FNTB-6:1". The record is from RNAcentral. Lineage: Eukaryota; Metazoa; Chordata; Mammalia; Primates; Hominidae.
AGAGGAGGCUGCUGGGAAGACAGGACACGUGGAGGGAGCUGGAACUCCUGGAGCCGGGCACCGUCUGCGCGCUGGACGCCGGGCCCAGGGGACUGGGUGGAGUCUCUGGGGGAGUAGCCGGCUGUCUAAAUAAUGCUGCCUCUCUUUGGUGUGACUGGUUAUACUUUGUCUUCUUCAUACGGAGUGGUUCCGUUUUGCGCCUAGGGGCGUAACCCGCCCGGGAGGGAAUCUGGCUGCGGCGGACCAGGGGGCGCGGCUCGGGAUGCCUGCGCGAACCCUCGGGGGCUGGUGGGGAGGUGUCAGUGGCAGGUGUUUCGUGGUGCUACCGGACAGGCAGAAUGACCGACCUCGCCGGGCGACCGCUCCCAGCCGCGAGAAUCCUGUAUUCGUUUAUCUGGGAGUGACCAUCCUCGCUACUCAGCUACUCACGUGAGGCUCCAGCGUUCACACAACGCGAACCCUCAACCACUAUGGACGUGGAAGUAAAAGCCCCUUCAGAGUUUGUUGUAGCCCAGACAGUUUAGGCAAUAUCCCAGCUCAGAGUACCAUAAUUAAGAUUGCAAAAAGGAUCAAUAUGGGAAACUUUUGCAGUUCCCUGUCCAGUUAAAAUCAUAUUUAUAUACUGUGGCAUGAAGUGUAAUCACAUGCAUUCCACCGAUAUUUAUUGAACACCUAACUUGCCACAAGGGGAUGCCAUAACGGAUAAGACCAAAACCAUCCCUGCCUUCAUGCAGCUCACAGCUGUGCAAGCAAGCGUGCCGGUCCUGCCGCCAUUGUAAGAGUGUGCAACAAGUCCCAUGGGAAGGAAGAAAACCAUAACAGACACUUUCCACCCUGAGACAAAGUACCCAUACUACUCCUUUACAUCUGGUCUCCAAAGUGAAUGACAUCUUGAGCUUUUCCCAUGAGUUACUGAUUCCCGGAUGAAUACCAUAUUAUCCCUGACUUUUGAAUGUGGAAAUUUGGGGAUAUGUCACACACAAUUCUUGUGACACACAUUCCUCAACGUGAGCAUGUCAUCUAUGCUGAAAAGACAAAUGUAAAUGUGGUAAUUUUUCCUUUACAUUUUUUCCUUUAAUAUCUAUUGUAUUUCUUUCUCUCUCUCUUUUUUUUUUUUUUUUUUUUUGAGACGGAGUCUUACUUUGUCGCCCAGGCUAGAGUGCAGUGGCGCAAUCUUGGCUCACUGCAACCUCCCUCUCCCGGAUUCAAGCGAUUCUCCUGCCUCAGCCUCCCGAGUAGCUGGGGCAGGCGCCCGCCACCGCGCCCAGCUAAUCUUUGUAUUUUUAGUAGAGACAGGGUUUCACCAACUUGGCCAGGCUGGUCUCGAAACUCCUGACCUCGUGAUACACCCGCCUCGGCCUCCCAAAGUGCUCACGUGCUCACGCCUAUAGCGUGAGCCACCGCUCGCGGUCUAAUAUCUGUUGUAUUUCUUAUUCAGUGAUCCAGUCCUACUAAGUCUGCACAUCUUUGCAAGUGAACUUACCUUUUCUACAUGCUUUUGUCUCAUAGUGUUCCUUUCCUGCUGAGUUGGGGAGACAGAUAUAAGCAGACCAUUAUGUGAUAAGAGCUGAUGGGCUAUUGGGGAGACAGACGGCCACUUUUGAGUGAGUUAAUUAACUGGAUACUAGAAGUUAAAGCUAAUUGAUGAUUACAACAGACAGUUCUUGGGUGCCUGCUAUGAACAGAGCACUCUAGGGCAACCCCGGCUACAAGUUAAAAUCAUCCUAGGAGCUUAAAAAAGUUCCCAUCCCCAGGCCACACCCCAAACCAAUUAAGCCAGAACCUCUGAAGGGGAGAUCCAGACUGAAGGAUUUUUUUUUCCAGACUGAAGGAUUUUUUAAAGCUCUUCCAGUAAUUCCAG